RNAcentral lists this ribosomal RNA (518 nucleotides) under Lactobacillus johnsonii. Its description in RNAcentral is "bacterial SSU rRNA". It matches the Rfam family "Bacterial small subunit ribosomal RNA", at positions 49 to 526 of the family's 1533-position model. The record is from RNAcentral. Lineage: Bacteria; Bacillati; Bacillota; Bacilli; Lactobacillales; Lactobacillaceae.
UAAUACAUGCAAGUCGAGCGAGCUUGCCUAGAUGAUUUUAGGUGCUUGCACUAAAUGAAACUAGAUACAAGCGAGCGGCGGACGGGUGAGUAACACGUGGGUAACCUGCCCAAGAGACUGGGAUAACACCUGGAAACAGAUGCUAAUACCGGAUAACAACACUAGACGCAUGUCUAGAGUUUGAAAGAUGGUUCUGCUAUCACUCUUGGAUGGACCUGCGGUGCAUUAGCUAGUUGGUAAGGUAACGGCUUACCAAGGCAAUGAUGCAUAGCCGAGUUGAGAGACUGAUCGGCCACAUUGGGACUGAGACACGGCCCAAACUCCUACGGGAGGCAGCAGUAGGGAAUCUUCCACAAUGGACGAAAGUCUGAUGGAGCAACGCCGCGUGAGUGAAGAAGGGUUUCGGCUCGUAAAGCUCUGUUGGUAGUGAAGAAAGAUAGAGGUAGUAACUGGCCUUUAUUUGACGGUAAUUACUUAGAAAGUCACGGCUAACUACGUGCCAGCAGCCGCGGUAAUAC